AACGCACCUUGCGCUCCUUGGUAUUCCGAGGAGCAUGCCUGUUUGAGUGUCAUUAAUAUAUCAACCUUCUCAAGUUUUGCUUGUUGAGUGUUGGAUGUGGGGGUCUUUUGCCGGUCUCUCUUUUCUGAGGUCAGCUCCCCUGAAAUGCAUUAGCGGAACAAUUUGUUGACCGUUCAUUGGUGUGAUAACUAUCUACGCUAUUGACGUGAAGCAGGUUCAGCUUCUAACAGUCCAUUGACUUGGACAAAUCUUCAUUAAUGUGACCUCAAAUCAGGUAGGACUACCCGCUGAACUUAAGUAUCAAUAAGCGGAUG
RNAcentral lists this ribosomal RNA (314 nucleotides) under uncultured Cortinarius. RNAcentral describes it as "eukaryotic LSU rRNA". The stretch from base 1 to 52 matches the Rfam family "5.8S ribosomal RNA", at positions 103 to 154 of the family's 154-position model. Lineage: Eukaryota; Fungi; Basidiomycota; Agaricomycetes; Agaricales; Cortinariaceae. The record is from RNAcentral.